This is a transfer RNA of Lasius niger, 72 nucleotides long. It matches the Rfam family "tRNA". From Rfam's summary of the family: Transfer RNA (tRNA) molecules are approximately 80 nucleotides in length. Their secondary structure includes four short double-helical elements and three loops (D, anti-codon, and T loops). Further hydrogen bonds mediate the characteristic L-shaped molecular structure. tRNAs have two regions of fundamental functional importance: the anti-codon, which is responsible for specific mRNA codon recognition, and the 3' end, to which the tRNAs corresponding amino acid is attached (by aminoacyl-tRNA synthetases). tRNAs cope with the degeneracy of the genetic code in two manners: having more than one tRNA (with a specific anti-codon) for a particular amino acid; and 'wobble' base-pairing, i.e. permitting non-standard base-pairing at the 3rd anti-codon position. NCBI's taxonomy places the organism in Eukaryota, Metazoa, Arthropoda, Insecta, Hymenoptera, Formicidae. The record is from Rfam.
GCGCCUAUAGCUUAAUGGAUAGAGCAUCUGACUACGGAUCAGAAGGUGUGGGUUCGACUCCUGCUAGGCGCG